Salmo salar (Atlantic salmon) is the source of this 2537-nucleotide non-coding RNA. NCBI's taxonomy places the organism in Eukaryota, Metazoa, Chordata, Actinopteri, Salmoniformes, Salmonidae. The record is from RefSeq and is a predicted model, not a curated record.
ACACACACACAUCUUACCAAAUGAACAGCUAAUAUACCACAGUAAAAGUGUCUCCAGACAGAAUAGCUUUAAAGCUGCAGCACCAAAUAUAUUAUUGUCCAUGUUAAACUCCUAAACUCUAGUCCUAAUGUGUUACGUCAUUCAUUCUUGGUAACCCUGAAAACAAUUGGACAUGGCUGGCACUUCCCACCCAGGCUUUUUAAUAGGCCAUGAGAGACGCUGCUGGGGCUUAUCAUGUUAUUUUCUUCCUGUGUUCACUUGCGUUUUCUGGGAAAUGAGUUCGGUGCCAAAAAAACUCCACAGUGUUCCCGUAAUCUACAACAUCACUGGCUCUUCCUGAAAACAACCUGUCUGCCCAUGCUUGAGGUGUUUGGUCUAUCUACUGUACUAUCAAUGGAGGGAGAGAUGGGCGGGGGAAGAGCUGACUUCCUUGUAGAAGAACAAUUAUUCUGCACUUCUUUGUCUGUGUUGUUCUGAAUCUGAACACUGCUACCCUAUGGGCCUGUCCUCUAAAACUCUCAACAGGCACGAACUUAUAUUUUCUCACUUUUGUUCUUUCUGCCUCUUUCUCUAUCACUUGCCCUCUCUCACCCCUGCCACUCUCUGCUUCGCCUCUCUCUCUCACUUGCCCUCUUUCACCCUCUCUGCCCCUCUCCCUCCCUCACUCUCUCACUUGCGCUCUCUCAUCCCUGCCACUCUCUCCCUCCCUCACUCUCUCAUUUGCCAUCUCUCACCCUCUCUGCCCCUCUCCCUCCCUCACUCUCUCACUCUCUCUCUCUCACCCUCUCCCCACUGCUCCCCCUCUCUUUCCGUGGCGCACUUUCACUUUCUGCCUCGUUUACCUUCUCUCACUCUCUUGGCCCUCCCUCCUGUCUCUAGAACAGAGUAGGGUGCACACGCACAACCUCCUACUGUCUCUCCUACUUCGUUUUUCUCUCACUCUGCCUGAGUCUCCCAUGGCUGACUGUCUCUCUGUCUGCAGUGAAGCUGACACUGUCUCUCUCUGUGUGUCUGUCCCCUGUGUGCAGCACAUGUCGAAGAGGUUCCUGUGGUGUUCCUACUGGGUAGGCUUGGGUAACUGGGGACUGGCAUGCACACCUUCCUCCUGUACCUGGGUCCACACAUAGCUUCAGUGAUCCUUGCAGAGUAUGAAUGUAGUUCAGUGGACUUCCCGCAGCCCCCCUACCCAGAGAAGAUCAUCUGCCCCCAGGAGGAAUUCCUGUUGGGGGAGACUGAGGCCGGGGUCCAGGGUGGUAUGGAGGACAUGGCGGGGGCAGCAGCUGUGCAGUGAGGCAUCUCCCUCUGGACCAUCGUCGUCAAGACCCGCCUGGAAGCCUGCAUGUGGAUGAGUCUACUGUAACUGUACUUGUAGCCUACACACGGUUAACACACAGUCUACUGGACAGUCCAUGGCACAUAGACACACAGUCUACUGGACAGUCCAUGGCACAUAGACACACAGUCUACUGGACAGUCCAUGGCACAUAGACACACAGUCUACUGGACAGUCCAUGGCACAUAGACACACAGUCUACUGGACAGUCCAUGGCACAUAGACACACAGUCUACUGGACAGUCCAUGGCACAUAGACACACAGUCUACUGGACAGUCCAUGGCACAUAGACACACAGUCUACUGGACUAUCAGUAUUGGUAGAGGUUGAGACAUAUCAAACAUUUAAUUUACCGUUUUUAGCAAUAAUAACUAACCUCUGAUUGAUUGGAAAACCCCAGCCUUUCACGGUGAAUUCCCCUAAAAACCUCGUGGUUUAACCUAGCCAUGUGCUUAGGUACUGGGGACCUGAGACUGACAGUUGACAAUCCUUCAUCACUGUCACACACGCACACACACCACUGUCACACACACACCACUGUCACACAUACAGUAACACUGUAAGAAGAGCCAGCCCCUGGCACAGGUAGAGGGUUAUACCCAGUUAUUCUGGAUGCAUUCUGACUCUGGAGGCCUUGUGGCUGUGGUGACCACUACAAUGACUCAGACAUAUCUCUGACUCAGACAUAUCUCUAACUGGUAACUGUCUGUAUCAGCCACAAAACUACAAUGAGAUUAUAUUUCUAUGGUAUCAGUUUCCCACUGAUGAUCAGCAGUACUGUUCCUGAAUUCUCAGCUCUCACAGCUCUUUUACCGGCAGUGUAGCAGCGUCAGGCCCUUUUUCAGCGCCUCCCUCUCAGAGUAUAACUGUAUCUACUGAGAAACACUGCUGGUUAACAGACAGAGAGCUCUGAGAAUAGAGGGCUCAUCUCUAUGACCUGUGGUGAAAUGAGGUCUUUUUCAUUUUGAUCUAAGCUGACAACAUUAGAAAUGGAAGCUGUUAUCUUACUCUGGUCUAAAGCACAUUUCACAUGUUACUGGCCGUUGGGAACAGAGUACAUUUACCUUUACUGCUACUGCUACUGCUGCUACUGCUACUACUACUACUACUACUACUACUACUACUGCUGCUACUACUGCUGCUGCUACUACUACUGCUGCUUCUGCUACUGCUGCUACUACUACUACUGCUGCUACUGCUACU